GACGAACGCUGGCGGCGUGCCUAACACAUGCAAGUCGAACGGGCGAAGGGAGCUUGCUCCCUGAGUUAGUGGCGAACGGGUGAGUAACGCGUGAGUAACCUGCCUUUCAGUGGGGAACAACAGUUAGAAAUGACUGCUAAUACCGCAUAUGCCUAAGUACCACAUGGUACAAUAGGGAAAGGAGCAAUCCGCUGAUAGAUGGGCUUGCGUCUGAUUAGAUAGUUGGUGGGGUAACGGCCUACCAAGUCGACGAUCAGUAGCCGGACUGAGAGGUUGAACGGCCACAUUGGGACUGAGAUACGGCCCAG
RNAcentral lists this ribosomal RNA (308 nucleotides) under uncultured bacterium. RNAcentral's name for it is "bacterial SSU rRNA". It matches the Rfam family "Bacterial small subunit ribosomal RNA", at positions 28 to 334 of the family's 1533-position model. The record is from RNAcentral.